Molecule: ribosomal RNA, 301 nt
Filed under: uncultured bacterium
Lineage: Bacteria
Description: partial 16S ribosomal RNA
Rfam family: Bacterial small subunit ribosomal RNA
Source: RNAcentral
CAGUAGCCACGGGAAUACGUAGGGCGCAAGCGUUAUCCGGAAUUAUUGGGCGUAAAGAGCUCGUAGGCGGUUUGUCGCGUCUGCCGUGAAAGUCCGGGGCUCAACCCCGGAUCUGCGGUGGGUACGGGCAGACUAGAGUGAUGUAGGGGAGACUGGAAUUCCUGGUGUAGCGGUGAAAUGCGCAGAUAUCAGGAGGAACACCGAUGGCGAAGGCAGGUCUCUGGGCAUUAACUGACGCUGAGGAGCGAAAGCAUGGGGAGCGAACAGGAUUAGAUACCCCAGUAGUCCCUGUCUCUUAUAC